GAGCAGCUCUCUCUCCGCCCACUCGGCCACCACGCGGCAGCCGAGCGAGGGCCUCGGGGCAGCUU
Oryza sativa Indica Group (long-grained rice) is the source of this 65-nucleotide microRNA precursor. It matches the Rfam family "MIR2907 microRNA precursor family". The record is from Rfam. Lineage: Eukaryota; Viridiplantae; Streptophyta; Magnoliopsida; Poales; Poaceae.